RNAcentral lists this ribosomal RNA (497 nucleotides) under uncultured bacterium. Its description in RNAcentral is "partial 16S ribosomal RNA". It matches the Rfam family "Bacterial small subunit ribosomal RNA", at positions 28 to 507 of the family's 1533-position model. The record is from RNAcentral.
GAUGAACGCUGGCGGCGUGCCUAAUACAUGCAAGUCGAGCGAACAGAUGAGGAGCUUGCUCCUCUGACGUUAGCGGCGGACGGGUGAGUAACACGUGGAUAACCUACCUAUAAGACUGGGAUAACUUCGGGAAACCGGAGCUAAUACCGGAUAAUAUAUUGAACCGCAUGGUUCAAUAGUGAAAGACGGUUUUGCUGCCACUUAUAGAUGGAUCCGCGCCGCAUUAGCUAGUUGGUAAGGUAACGGCUUACCAAGGCAACGAUGCGUAGCCGACCUGAGAGGGUGAUCGGCCACACUGGAACUGAGACACGGUCCAGACUCCUACGGGAGGCGGCAGUAGGGAAUCUUCCGCAAUGGGCGAAAGCCUGACGGAGCAACGCCGCGUGAGUGAUGAAGGUCUUCGGAUCGUAAAACUCUGUUAUUAGGGAAGAACAAAUGUGUAAGUAACUAUGCACGUCUUGACGGUACCUAAUCAGAAAGCCGCGGCUAACUACGUG